Molecule: long non-coding RNA, 3835 nt
Organism: Tachysurus vachellii
Lineage: Eukaryota; Metazoa; Chordata; Actinopteri; Siluriformes; Bagridae
Exons: 4
Source: RefSeq, a predicted model, not a curated record
AAGACCGGCGACACAGACGCUGACAAACGCUCACAACAGGUAUACUGAGAAUUCUGAUUGGAUGAAGGGGUGGAGUUUAGAACUGCAGAUCGGUGUGAGAGUUUAGUUAACGAUGUGACUGGGAGGAAUUCAUGGACCAGUUGGGACUUACCUCGGACGUGCUUUGGAGUAUCGUUGCUAUGGCGAUAAAGGAUCGUGCUGCUGUUCGGUAGAGGAGGGACUACAGAAAGAUCUACAGCUUCAGAGGAGGGAAUUUCGUGUUCCAGCCGCCUGGGAAGCCGUUCAGCCGACCAGAGUCCGCUCUUCCAGAACCAGAACCCAUGCAGGUGGAUCCUACUGGUCUCUCACUGUCAGAGCGUCAUGGAAGACUUACUCUAGGAUUGUGUCUAUACUGUGGCGCAUCGGGGCAUACCAUCAUCUCAUGCCCCAUUCGCCCCCCACCACCACACCUGGUGAGUGUUAUUCAGCCUGAUCCAUCUUUUUCCUCACCAUUGUAAACUCAAUGUCUGAUAUGUGUUCCCCAUCACUCUGUUUCAGUCUCAGCCCUCCUCCAUUCAGGAUUAACUCAUUAAACCACAUAAGUCCGUCCCACACCACUGUAUUAUUAGAUAAAGUGCUGUGAUCUUAUAUGAUAAAACAUUUACUAAGGUGUUAAUAUGAUCAAUUCUGCUCAUAAAACAUUUCUCAGUAAUGAAUGAAAUGAACAAAAGUUACCUUUUUUUUGUGUUUACAAUGUUAACAAACUUAUUCAUGCUGUACCUGUUCCAUCCUCCACAUUUUGCUCACCUAGUUUCUCUGGCACAUCCUUCUCUACCUUUUCACACAAAUGGACACUGAGCUGCUCACUAGGGAGGAAUCACGUAUGAAAGUUACCACUUGCUUACUUGAUCCCCUCCCUACAAGCUUGUUUAAAUCCUGUUUGUAUUCAUUGUGCCCUGCUGUUCUCAGUAUUGUAAAUGAUUCCCUGCAUACUGGUGUUGUGCCAGCAGCAUUGACUGGUGACUGGUUUUGUCUGUACGGGUGUUCCUCAGGGUUCCAUCUUAGGCCCCUUACUUUUUAGCAUGUACAUAUUUCCACUUGGAUUGCUUUUAAGAUCACUUGGGCUUAAUUAUCACUUUUAUGCGGACGACACUCAGAUUUAUAUUCACUUUAAGCCUAAUCAAAAUUUGGACCUUUCUUUUUUAACACACUGUAUCGCUGAGAUAAAAACGUGGAUGUCUCAAAAUUGUUUGUGCCUCAACGCUGAUAAGACGGAGCUUGUCUUGCUUAUUGGAGCCCCUCACCAGCUUCGCAAAGCUGGUUCACUGUUUCUAAACGUAGAUGGCUCUGUUCUGGAAGUACAAACCAAAUGAAAAAAUCUAGGAGUAAUCUUUGAUUCAAGUUUGUCUUUUGACCCUCACGUUCGGCACUUUGUAAAGAACUGAUUUUUUCAUCUCAGAAAUAUGGCUAGACUUCACCCUAUGUUAUCCUGUUCAGUGACUGAAAGGCUUAUUAAGACUUUUGUGUUCUCCCGCUUUGACUAUUGUAAUGCACUUCUGGCUGGGGUUCCUAAAUCCACACUUAAUAAACUUGUUAAACUAAAUAAUAAACUAAAUAAAGAGAGAAACACCACAUGACCACAUUAGCAUGACCUACAUUUUAGUGCAUCCUCGAGAGAACCUAGAGGGUGAGCUGAUAAAAAUAAAAUAUAUAGAAAAUAUAUAAAUUACAUAGAAAUUUCUAACUUCUGCACAAAUAAAGACGGACUUACUUCAUCCCCAUCAGGCGGCUCUGGAGUCCCUGCUGCCGGCAGUGCAGCUUCCACCGCCCCGGGAAGGAACUCCCGGAGAGCUUCCCUCACCGUCUCCCUACAGUUACAGGCGGGUGGAAGCUGGCCGUCUGAAGACGACCUUCCUCUUUCAUGAUGAGGCUUUGGCUGAACUUCUAUAAGUCUACGUGGCAUUGUGUAAGAUAAUGAGUAACACCCACCUAGCGGCUGCUCUAUUUAUAAUCUAACAUUAUAAUUAUGCACAAAUCAAACGUGUGUUAUUGGUCAUAAUCCCUCUUCCUCCCGCUCCCCCUACACACUUAUUGGCUAAGAUCCUUGUGACCAAUCCGAAAACCAAUCCGAAACACGCCGUAAAAUUACAGCAUCAGUCCGUCAUUCUGUUCUACACCACAUUAUUAAUGGUGCUUGUAAAGCGUCAUUAUUGUUAUUGUGCCGGACAAAACUUCGGUGUGUAACUUGUCCCUCAGCUUUUGUCCUAGAUAAUAAUUAAGUGGUACAGAAUCCACUAAAGUCAUCAUGAAGUCAUCAUUUUGUUUCUCAUGUUUAUCAGAAUAGGAAACAGCUGUUUAAGGGAAAAUAUGGGUGACACUUAAAAGAGCCGUUUGAGGAGUAAAAAACAUAAGAAACACGUUUACUUUUUCUUGUGAGCCUUUUUGGCCUUCGCCGCUUUGGGCUUUACAGCAUUUACCUUCUUGGGGGUCGCCGGCUUUUUUGGCCCUCUUGGGGCUCUUGGCUGCUUUCUUGAUUAUUAAUAUAAACUAAGUUAGUGAGGUAAUGUAAAUCUGAGGUGAUUUGUGACGUGCUAACUGCUAAUCUGAGCUAAAACAGAAGUGUAAAAGUGAAACCUGAGGUAACAGUUACCAUCAAUCUGAAGGAGUUAAGAACACAUUCAGUGUUACACUUUAUAUACAGAUGAACACGUCAAAUCAGAUAAAUCAGUAGUUUUUGCUGCCCUUCGCCUCCUUCACUAUGUGGCCGAUAUUGUCACCCAACAUCACGAAGCCCAAAAACACUUGAGCCAUUGAGUUUGUGGUCUCGAGUGUUUUCAUGUCGAUCAACUAUCAUUCCAGAAGACCCUGUUUUUUUUUAUAUCUUUUUUAACCAUAUUUUUUACAUUUAUAAUAAUAGAUUUUAUUUUUUAUUUUAUUUUGUGUGUAAAAUGUACAAUUGUUUAAUAAUCCAACCUCAAUUCAUACUUUUCCAGGGCUUUGACUUUUUUAUUGCUUCUUGGAGUUCAUGUUGUUUACCAUAAACAUGUAUCUGUAGUGAGAUCAUGUGAUAUUUAAUUCAAACAACAAAAACACUGAAUUAAGCUUAUUAUAGCACAUAACUGCUUACGCUGAGACUAAUUUAAAGGUUUCACAGCCACUUAUGUACUUCCAACUUUUACAACUGCAACGACUCUGUACAUUUUGUUGAUGAAAAGCUUCUCCAAAGCAUGAUGCUGCCACCUCCGGGCUUCACUGUAUGGAUGAUGUUCUCAGGAUGAAUAAGCAGUGUGGCUCUGCGUUAUUGUGUUUUAUUACUAGUCUUGUAGAAUCAGUGCAAAAAUACAAACACACAAGCAAUGGUGUAGGUUUACUUCAGAGAUCUUGUAUUGCUUAAACAGCUUGAAUGUGGACUGAAGUAAAAGGAGGCACUUAGCACAUCAGCCUCACACCUUGGGGGUUUAAGGGUUUCCUCAGGGUUCUCCGGUUUCCUCCUUCAGUCCAAAGACAGGAAUUAUAUGCUGAUUGGCAUCUCUACAUUGUCUGUAGUAAAAGUGUGUGUAAUAGACUGGCAUUGUGUCCAGUGUCUACCCUGCCUUGUACCCUGUAAUAGACUCCAGGUUCCCCGUGACCUAGUAGAAUAAGAAGGCCAAACACACAACAAACCAUUCAACUUGUGUAUUUUUAAAACAAAUAUAUACACAAAUAUAUACACAUACAAAAAGUUAGAACAAAACAAUUAACUACAAUUAACAAUGACUUGAUCUGGAUUUUGUCUUUUAUUUCUCUCGUGCAGAACUCACAAUGUACACAUUUGGUCCUUGUUGUUGUAGUUUCAUUUUAGUUGUUUUUGUUGUUG